Molecule: ribosomal RNA, 253 nt
Filed under: uncultured bacterium
Lineage: Bacteria
Description: partial 16S ribosomal RNA
Rfam family: Bacterial small subunit ribosomal RNA
Source: RNAcentral
GACAGAGGGUGCAAACGUUGUUCGGAAUUACUGGGCGUAAAGCGCGUGUAGGCUGCUUCGCAAGUCGGAUGUGAAAGCCCUGGGCUCAACCCAGGAAGUGCAUUCGAAACUGCAGAGCUGGAGUCCUGGAGAGGAAGGCGGAAUUCUCGGUGUAGAGGUGAAAUUCGUAGAUAUUGGGAAGAACACCGAUGGCGAAGGCAGCCAUCUGGACCGACACUGACGCUGAGGCGCGAAAGCGUGGGGAGCGAACAGG